AUGGCAGAUUCUGAGGCCAGUCCAAGACUCUUCCCCCUAAGCCUCCAGAGUGCUGCCCCUGGUGGGAAUGUGAUCAUCGCUUGCCUGGUCCAAGGCUUUUUCCCAUCGGAUCCUUUGGAAGUGACCUGGAGUCAUACUGGGCAGGGAGUGAAUGUCAGGAACUUCCCCCCUGUCAAGUCUGCCACUGGAAAUGUGUACACCAUGAGUAGCCAGCUCACCCUGCCUGCUGACCAGUGCCUGGACACUACAUCCCACCAGUGCCACGUGAAGCAUUAUAAAAGCCCAGACCAGGUGGUCACGGUGCCCUGCAAAGCAAGCUCUUGUCAGAAGUGUUGGUAUUGCCAGCCACGCCUGACCCUGCACCGGCCAGCCUUAGAAGAUCUGCUCCUGGGCUCAGAGGCCAACCUGACAUGCACACUGAGUGGUCUAAAGGAUCCCAGUGGUGCCACCUUCACCUGGCAGCCCUCAGGUGGUAAGGACGCCAUACAAGGGUCUCCUGAGUAUGACUCCUGCGGCUGUUACAGUGUGUCCAGCGUCCUUCCUGGCUGCUCGGAGCCCUGGAAUAGUGGAGAGACCUUCUCUUGCACUGCCACCCAUUCCGAGGCAGCGAACCUGCAAACUGUCACCAUCUCCAAAGAUUCAGGAAACAAGUUCCGGCCCCAGGUCCACCUGCUGCCGCCACCAUCAGAAGAACUGGCCCUGAAUGAACUGGUGACUCUGACAUGCUUAGUGCGUGGCUUCAGUCCUAAGGAUGUGCUGGUGCGUUGGAUGCAUGAGACCCAGGAGCUACCCCGUGAUGACUACCUGACCUCAAGCCCACAGCAGGAGCCCAGCAGCGGCACUACCACCUUCGCUGUGACCAGUAUUUUGCGUGUGUCGGCUGAGGCCUGGAAGCAGGGGGAAAAUUUCUCCUGUAUGGUGGGCCAUGAGGCCCUGCCCCUGGCCUUCAUGCAGAAGACCAUCAACAAACUGGCUGGUAAACCCACCCACGUUAACGUGUCUGUGGUCAUGUCCGAGGUGGAUGGCAUCUGCUAUUGA
Molecule: non-coding RNA, 1038 nt
Organism: Chrysochloris asiatica (Cape golden mole)
Lineage: Eukaryota; Metazoa; Chordata; Mammalia; Afrosoricida; Chrysochloridae
Source: the annotation of a RefSeq genome assembly